This 109-nucleotide microRNA precursor is filed under the name Podarcis lilfordi (Lilford's wall lizard). Lineage: Eukaryota; Metazoa; Chordata; Lepidosauria; Squamata; Lacertidae. The record is from RNAcentral.
CUCCCACCGAGUGUCGGCUCGGUUUUUUCCCUUUUAGCCUGCAGGCGCCGAAUUCUGUGGGGCGCCAAAAGGCUAAAAGGGAAAAAACUGAGCCAAUGCUCAGUAGGAG